RNAcentral lists this ribosomal RNA (605 nucleotides) under uncultured bacterium. RNAcentral describes it as "bacterial SSU rRNA". It matches the Rfam family "Bacterial small subunit ribosomal RNA", at positions 46 to 643 of the family's 1533-position model. The record is from RNAcentral.
GCUUACACAUGCAAGUCGAGCGGUAACAUUUCUAGCUUGCUAGAAGAUGACGAGCGGCGGACGGGUGAGUAACGCGUAGGAAUCUGCCUAGUAGUGGGGGACAACAUGUGGAAACGCAUGCUAAUACCGCAUACGCCCUACGGGGGAAAGGAGGGGAUCUUCGGACCUUUCGCUAUUAGAUGAGCCUGCGUGAGAUUAGCUAGUUGGUGGGGUAAAGGCCUACCAAGGCGACGAUCUCUAGCUGGUCUGAGAGGAUGAUCAGCCACACUGGGACUGAGACACGGCCCAGACUCCUACGGGAGGCAGCAGUGGGGAAUAUUGGACAAUGGGCGCAAGCCUGAUCCAGCCAUGCCGCGUGUGUGAAGAAGGCCUUAGGGUUGUAAAGCACUUUCAGGAGUGAGGAAGGGUGUACGGUUAAUACCCGUAUAUUUUGACGUUAACUCCAGAAGAAGCACCGGCUAACUCUGUGCCAGCAGCCGCGGUAAUACAGAGGGUGCGAGCGUUAAUCGGAAUUACUGGGCGUAAAGCGCGCGUAGGCGGUUUGUUAAGUCGGAUGUGAAAUCCCAGGGCUCAACCUUGGAAUGGCACCCGAUACUGGCAGGCUA